Molecule: ribosomal RNA, 253 nt
Filed under: uncultured bacterium
Lineage: Bacteria
Description: partial 16S ribosomal RNA
Rfam family: Bacterial small subunit ribosomal RNA
Source: RNAcentral
UACAGAGGGUGCAAGCGUUAAUCGGAAUUACUGGGCGUAAAGCGUGCGUAGACGGUUAUGUAAGUCGGGUGUGAAAGCCCCGGGCUCAACCUGGGAAUUGCAUUCGAGACUGCAUAGCUAGGGUGCGGAAGAGGGAAGCGGAAUUUCCGGUGUAGCGGUGAGAUGCGUAGAUAUCGGAAGGAACACCAGUGGCGAAAGCGGCUUCCUGGUCCAGCACCGACGUUCAGGCACGAAAGCGUGGGGAGCAAACAGG